This 253-nucleotide ribosomal RNA is filed under the name uncultured bacterium. RNAcentral's name for it is "partial 16S ribosomal RNA". It matches the Rfam family "Bacterial small subunit ribosomal RNA", at positions 524 to 776 of the family's 1533-position model. The record is from RNAcentral.
UACGUAGGGGGCAAGCGUUGUCCGGAAUUAUUGGGCGUAAAGCGCGCGCAGGCGGUCCUUUAAGUCAGUGCUGAAAUACUCCAGCUUAACUGGAGGGGUGGCAUUGAUACUGGAAGACUUGAGUAUAGUUGAGGUAGGCGGAAUUGACGGUGUAGCGGUGAAAUGCUUAGAUAUCGUCAAGAACACCGAUAGUGAAGACAGCUUACUAAACUAUAACUGACGCUGAGGCACGAAAGUGUGGGGAUCAAACAGG